CCCUUGGAUGUCGUACCGCCACAUCUGCGAGAUGUACAAGAAGACUGAUGCAUACGUCGGGACAACGGAAGAGACUCUGACACGAGGGGCAUGGAGAAACCUGUUUUUUUGUUGUUUUUUUGAGGUUGUUCAUCGUUAAAGUACCAGUCUAAGGAGCUUGGAAAGAUGAGCUUCUAGAACUUGUAUGUGAGGAGCAGGAGCUCCCUGAAGGAGAACCCCGGCCACGUCGUCAUUUUUUUGAGGUUGUCCGUCGUCAAUGUACCAGUCUAAGGAGCUUGGAAAGAUGAGCUUCUAGAACUUGUAUGUGAGGAGCAGGAGCUCCCUGAACGAGAACCCCGGCCACGUCGUCAUUUUUUUGAGGUUGUCCGUCUACAAUGUACCAGUCUAAGGAGCUUGGAAAGAUGAGCUUCUAGAACUUGUAUGUGAGGAGCAGGAGCUCCCUGAACGAGAACCCCGGCCACGUCGUCAUUUUUUUGAGGUUGUCCGUCGUCAAUGUACCAGUCUAAGGAGCUUGGAAAGAUGAGCUUCUAGAACUUGUAUGUGAGGAGCAGGAGCUCCCUGAAGGAGAACCCCGGCCACGUCGUCAUUUUUUUGAGGUUGUCCGUCGUCAAUGUACCAGUCUAAGGAGCUUGGAAAGAUGAGCUUCUAGAACUUGUAUGUGAGGAGCAGGAACUCCCUGAAGGAGAACCCCGGCCACUUCGUCAUCUUCCCCUUGGAUGUCGUACCGCCACAUCUGGCAGAUGUACAAGGAUCAGUCUGGACAGCGGAGGUGGUAGCAGGAGCUGCGGCGGUAUUUGUCCUGCAGGUGUCUUGAGCGGCUUGCCAGAUGC
This is a long non-coding RNA of Oreochromis aureus, 830 nucleotides long. RefSeq lists it as uncharacterized. Lineage: Eukaryota; Metazoa; Chordata; Actinopteri; Cichliformes; Cichlidae. The transcript has 7 exons. The record is from RefSeq and is a predicted model, not a curated record.